AUGUCUUUCUCUCCGCCGCGCAAAGGCUACGAGAUGCCAUCCGGCCGCGAUGCCCUUCACCUCGUCAAGUCAGAGUCGUCGUGCUGUCCAUCCGUGAUGCUUCCACUUCAUCACGCCAAAAUGAGCUGCCGCCCUUCCGUGAUGCUCUCCCUCUUCGUGGAGAUUAAUGCUGUCGCUCGUCCGCAUAUCGGAGCGUCACUCGUCUACGUCAACAUGAAGAAAGAAUGGUGUCGAACCGUUCGUGCUGAAUCUACUCCAACAAAUGCCCUCAGCCAUUCCGCCGAUGAGACAUUUACUUCUUCCAAGAUCGUUGUUGCUACCGGCACCCUCAUGGAGCCCCUUUUACGGGCUCGUUAUCAUAUCAACUGGAUCAAUAGUAGAUCCAUCAUCCGAAGCAGGUGCCAGAGCCACCUUUAUCCGGCUGCUGUCUACACCGACUUCUUCAUCAACAUCUUCAUUACAAGUCCCUGUUGUAUAAGGGGCAUGACGGGUUAGGAGGUGCCCA
Molecule: long non-coding RNA, 505 nt
Filed under: Oryza sativa Indica Group (long-grained rice)
Lineage: Eukaryota; Viridiplantae; Streptophyta; Magnoliopsida; Poales; Poaceae
Description: lncRNA OsMH63_11G011660
Source: RNAcentral